Molecule: non-coding RNA, 68 nt
Organism: Phrynosoma platyrhinos (Desert horned lizard)
Lineage: Eukaryota; Metazoa; Chordata; Lepidosauria; Squamata; Phrynosomatidae
Source: the annotation of a GenBank genome assembly
GGUGUGGUGUAGUGGUUUAGGGUUAGACCAUGACUCUGAAGACCAGGGUUUGAAUCCCCACAUUACCA